AAUCUAUUUUUAAAUUCUGAUUACAAACAUGAUUUUAUAUAAGAUACAUAUUUCUUACUAUUUUGUUGCUGUUGCAGGUACUUUCAAAUGCUAGACUCGUAUUGGAAAAUAUAAUGAAGUAUGGGAUACUAGUUGAUCCUAUUCAGUGGGCAAAUCUUUUUAUAAACAAUCCUACUGAAUCACCUUCUGUCCUUCUAUUAUUUAGUUUACUUAUUUUUCCAUUGUCAUCACUUGGUAUUGAAAAAUUACUUGCAAAUAUUGCUUGUUAACUAUAUG
Molecule: non-coding RNA, 276 nt
Organism: Parasteatoda tepidariorum (common house spider)
Lineage: Eukaryota; Metazoa; Arthropoda; Arachnida; Araneae; Theridiidae
Source: RefSeq, a predicted model, not a curated record